AACGAACGCUGGCGGCGUGCCUAACACAUGCAAGUCGAACGAGAAAGUGGACUUCGGUCCGCGAGUACAGUGGCAGGCGGGUGAGUAACACGUGGGCAAUCUGCCCGAAGGUGGGGGAUAACUCUCCGAAAGGAGGGCUAAUACCGCAUAACACCCUGGAGCUCUCGGGCUCCGGGAUCAAAGCUUGCCUCUAUUUAUAAGCAGGCGCCAUCGGAGGAGCCCGCGCCCCAUUAGCUUGUUGGUGAGGUAACGGCUCACCAAGGCUGCGAUGGGUAGCCGGCCUGAGAGGGUGAACGGCCACACUGGAACUGAGACACGGUCCAGACUCCUACGGGAGGCAGCAGUGAGGAAUUUUGCGCAAUGGGCGAAAGCCUGACGCAGCGACGCCGCGUGAAGGAAGAAGGUCUUCGGAUUGUAAACUUCUGUCAAGAGGGACGAAGUCGUCGUGGAUGAAUAAGCCACGGCGUUGACGGUACCUCUGGAGGAAGCCCCGGCUAACUCCGUGCCAGCAGCCGCGGUAAUACGGGGGGGGCAAGCGUUGUUCGGAAUUAUUGGGCGUAAAGGGCGCGUAGGCGGCUCCGCAAGUCAGUUGUGAAAGCCCUCGGCUUAACCGGGGAAUUGCAAUUGAAACUGCUGGGCUUGAGUCCCGGAGAGGGUGGCGGAAUUCCCAGUGUAGCGGUGAAAUGCGUAGAUAUUGGGAGGAACACCUGUGGCGAAGGCGGCCACCUGGACGGGUACUGACGCUGAGGCGCGAAAGCGUG
This 761-nucleotide ribosomal RNA is filed under the name uncultured Acidobacteriota bacterium. RNAcentral's name for it is "bacterial SSU rRNA". It matches the Rfam family "Bacterial small subunit ribosomal RNA", at positions 28 to 763 of the family's 1533-position model. Lineage: Bacteria; Pseudomonadati; Acidobacteriota. The record is from RNAcentral.